GACGAACGCUGGCGGCGUGCUUAACACAUGCAAGUCGAACGGAAAGGCCCUGCUUUUGUGGGGUGCUCGAGUGGCGAACGGGUGAGUAACACGUGAGUAACCUGCCCUUGACUUUGGGAUAACUUCAGGAAACUGGGGCUAAUACCGGAUAGGAGCUCCUGCUGCAUGGUGGGGGUUGGAAAGUUUCGGCGGUUGGGGAUGGACUCGCGGCUUAUCAGCUUGUUGGUGGGGUAGUGGCUUACCAAGGCUUUGACGGGUAGCCGGCCUGAGAGGGGGAACGGCCACAUGGGGACUGAGAGACGGCCCAGACGGCUACGGGAGGCAGCAGUGGGGAAUAUUGCACAAUGGGCGGAAGCCUGAUGCAGCAACGCCGCGUGCGGGAUGACGGCCUUCGGGUUGUAAACCGCUUUCGCCUGUGACGAAGCGUGAGUGACGGUAAUGGGUAAAGAAGCACCGGCUAACUACGUG
RNAcentral lists this ribosomal RNA (468 nucleotides) under uncultured bacterium. RNAcentral's name for it is "partial 16S ribosomal RNA". It matches the Rfam family "Bacterial small subunit ribosomal RNA", at positions 28 to 507 of the family's 1533-position model. The record is from RNAcentral.